GGAAACCAUACAUAUGAAGCAUGGGCACAGAGAAAACUAGCAUCAAUCACUUGUCACUGUAUUGCAUUCAGAGUGUCUGGUCCCAAGAUGGUACUGCCAGGCAGAGCUGCCAUUGAGUUUGGUGGGAGAGGAAGAGAGCAUAACGGCAGUGUAACCCAGAAAGCCAAGAAGCCACGCUGGCCUGAAUACCUGUGCUUCAAGCCCUCCAGAGCUUUCACCACCAAGACUGAGUCCUGUAUGGCACUGGGUGGGUGUCUUCUUUCACACCAAGAGUACAGCCCUCCAGAAUAUCAGAUGUCAACAGGAGUCUUCUAUUACAUUCCUGGUUUGGAUACUUCUAUUUAUACUUCAGGGAAAUAAAUAAGGAGAUAUAUAAA
This is a long non-coding RNA of Peromyscus eremicus (cactus mouse), 377 nucleotides long. RefSeq lists it as uncharacterized. Lineage: Eukaryota; Metazoa; Chordata; Mammalia; Rodentia; Cricetidae. The record is from RefSeq and is a predicted model, not a curated record. The transcript has 2 exons.